RNAcentral lists this ribosomal RNA (497 nucleotides) under uncultured bacterium. RNAcentral's name for it is "partial 16S ribosomal RNA". It matches the Rfam family "Bacterial small subunit ribosomal RNA", at positions 28 to 507 of the family's 1533-position model. The record is from RNAcentral.
GAUGAACGCUGGCGGCGUGCCUAAUACAUGCAAGUCGAGCGAACAGACGAGGAGCUUGCUCCUCUGACGUUAGCGGCGGACGGGUGAGUAACACGUGGAUAACCUACCUAUAAGACUGGGAUAACUUCGGGAAACCGGAGCUAAUACCGGAUAAUAUAUUGAACCGCAUGGUUCAAUAGUGAAAGACGGUUUUGCUGUCACUUAUAGAUGGAUCCGCGCCGCAUUAGCUAGUUGGUAAGGUAACGGCUUACCAAGGCGACGAUGCGUAGCCGACCUGAGAGGGUGGUCGGCCACAUUGGAACUGAGACACGGUCCAGACUCCUACGGGAGGCAGCAGUAGGGAAUCUUCCGCAAUGGGCGAGAGCCUGACGGAGCAACGCCGCGUGAGUGAUGAAGGUCUUCGGAUCGUAAAACUCUGUUAUUAGGGAAGAACAAAUGUGUAAGUAACUAUGCACGUCUUGACGGUACCUAAUCAGAAAGCCACGGCUAACUACGUG